This 3789-nucleotide long non-coding RNA is filed under the name Capsicum annuum. RNAcentral describes it as "long non-coding RNA (CANN_LNC020089)". The record is from RNAcentral. Lineage: Eukaryota; Viridiplantae; Streptophyta; Magnoliopsida; Solanales; Solanaceae.
GGUAAGAUGUACGCAGUCCAUACCUCUACCUCUAAAGAAGUAGAAAGGCUGUUUCCGAUAGAUCCCCGACUCGAGACACAGAAUACUACACAAAUACAUAGUAAAGCAUGGAACAAGAUGGCAUAACAUAAAUAUGACACCCACAAGUAAUAGAAAACAGAGAAAAGUAAACAGAUUCGUAAUAAAGCAUGAAACAAGGUAUCAUAACAAGAAUAAUACCCCCACCAAGUAAUCUCCCCAGUACUUCUUUGGCCUACCCCUACCCCGCCUAAAACCAUCCAAAGCUAGCCUCUCACACCUACGAACCGGGGCAUCCAUGCCCCUCCUCAUCACGUGUCCGAACCAUCUCAAUCGGACUUUCCACAUCUUAUUUUCCACUGGAGUCACACCAACCUUCUCUUUGAUAGUCUCAUUCCGAACUCUAUCCCCCCUAGUCAGCCCACACAUCCAACGCAACAUCCGCAUUUCCGCCACCUUUAUCUUUUGAAUGUGGGAGUUCUUAAGUGGCCAACACUCCGCUCCAUACAACACGGCCGGACGGACUGCCAUCCUGUAGAAUUUGCCUUUAAGCUUGGGCGGCACCUUCUUAUCACACAAAAUCCCCGAAGCGAGCUUCCACUUCGUCCAUCUCGCCCCAAUACGGUGCGAGACAUCCUCGUCAAUCUCACCGUUACCUUGAAUCACGAACCCGAGAUACUUGAAACUAUCCCUCUUACAUACCACCUGUGAUUCCAACUUCACUACCACCUCAUACAUCAUCUGCAAAAAGCAUACACCAAGGUACCUCUCCUUGAAUACGCUGCGUCAACACAUUCAUCACCAAAGCAAACAAAAAAGGACUGAGUAGAUCCCUGAUGCAAUCCUGUCAAGAUAGUGAAAUGCUCUGAGUCUCCUCCUACCGUCCUCACCUGAGUUUUAGCUCUAUCAUACAUUAAUAACAUAAACUCAUGAACAGAAAAGAUUAAUUUUCAUCUUUUGGUCUAUCAUUCACAUCAAACAACAGAAAAAGCAUUGAAUAAAAAAAGUUAACCUAAAAAUUUUAGUUUGAUGUUUGGAGAAGCAUAAGCAGUAAACUUUUUUUGUGGUGUAAGAAGUGCAGGAACUAGGAAGGGAGGAAAUAAAUUGAUUUGAGGUGUGAAUAGGUGUCAUUUUAUUUGAGACGUUUGCAGGACACUCUAUGACUAUAAGUAAGACCUUUGUUAGUCUUGCUAAUUUAAUGAUUUUGUAACCUUUUUCGGAUUGAACUCUUGUAAAUACUAUAAUAGAAUGCAGAUAGAUUGUACUGGAAAGGGUUUGAAUAAAUCGAAUUGGAUUGUGUGGAUUCAUAUGACCAACUAGUUUGAGAUUGAGGACAUAGUAGUAAUUCUUGUGGUAGUAUUGAGUGAUUGAGAAUUGAUGUAUUAGUAGCUAACGUAAAAGGUGUUUUUUUUUUCGUGUGUGGGGGUGGGGUAGGGGGCUUAGGACUAUGAUUUGUGGAAAGAGCCUGUGUGAUGAGUAGGCUAGGCCCAUGUUAGAGGUUCAAGUCAUGCCGAAUUAGCAUUGUAGAGAGGUGUGCCCAUUGUCUAUUGAGUUCCGAACGUGUGCCCAAAGGUCCUCAGGAAUUUAUCGAUUAUCAAGUACAUAUAUGUGUGUAGGAGGGGGGAGGGUGGGGUUAGGGAUUUGGUCUAGUGGAAAGAGCACAACAUGUGAUGAGUGAGCUAGGCUCAUGUUACAGAUUUGAAUGAAUUAGCUUGGUAGAGAGGUGUGCCUGUUGUUUAUCAUGUUCUGAACGUGUGCCCAUGGGUCCUUGGGAACUUUUUGAUUAUCAAAUUUAUAUAUGUGUGUAUAUUUAAUGCUCAAGAGAAGGUAGGUGCUGAAGUUCACCCAAAAACAUGGAAAGCCAACAAUUUAUAGAUUAUUGUUUCCACCAACAACAACGAUAACAUACCUCGUGUGGUCCCACAAGUAGAGUCUUCGGAAGGUGGGGUGUACGUAGACCUUACCCCUUGCUUUGUGAGGUAGAGAGGAGGCUGUCUCUAAUAGACCCUCGACUUAUCUAUUGUUAUCAUCCUAAAAAAAGAACUUCAAGACUUCUAAGGAAAUUUUAGAAGUCUUUAGAUUUGUGAAGAGAAGUCCUAGAAAUGCUGAGCUUACAAUAACGUAAAGGGUCAUUUGGUUUAAAGACAAGCUAUGCAAAGAUUUGUAAUGUUACUUAUUGUUGGUGGGAGGUAGCAUGUAUAUAGAGGUUAAGGUGCAAGAAAGCUAGCCCCAACACCACGUUAUUAAAAAAGAGAGAUUGUAAUGUAAGCUCUAGUAUUGCUGGAUUAGUUCUUGUUGAAUGUUUAGUUUGAUAUGUUACAUAUUAAUAUGUAAUGUAUAAUUUAAAACACAAUAAAUUUUCUUUCUAUUAUGAGGUUAGUUGUACCAUUUUAGCAUUUCUAAUCCAUGUAUUACUGCUACUCACGUUCUUAUUCCACAUUAUCUCCCGGUUAAGAUAAUUUAUAGAUUUCCACAUAACCAAUGCAUGUACUAUUUAUGAGGAAAACAAAAAGGAACGACCAAACAUUGUAUUAGUUAAUGUUGAUUUAUAUGUGGAGAUUAAAUCUCACCAAAUCACAACCAAACAUUGUGUAAAUUUAUGUUGAUUUUUAUGUGGGGAUUAUAUCUCCUAAACAUAAACCAAUUGACCCCUUGAACAUUUAAAAGAUAGUAGCAUAUUUGCAAAGCAUGUUGAGCAUGAGUUAUGUAGAUUUGUAUUUGUUCCCUAUUUUUGUCUUGGUUGAGCUACGCUAGAGACUACGUAGUAGAUUCUCAGUCUAAGUAUCAAGUCAAUAUUCAGUUGUUAGGGUCCACCUCACGAGAAACGUUCUCGGUAAGUUGUUUUCUUCUACAUUGUCAUUAAGGCUGCUGCUACCUCUCUUUGCUUUUCAUAUUUGUUGUCAGGUAAUUUGAACUUAUUUAAAUCAUAUCCAAUUGAAUACCUUUUCGUAUUAACCUACUAGCCCAACCAUUUAUGUAUCUGCGAGUCUUAGUUAUCUAAUGGCUACCUAUCUUGCUCCUUAAAUAUGAGGAUACCCUUUUUGCUAUGGUUGAAAACUUUUGGGCUCCUAUAUUCCUCGAGGUAUUAAAUCUCAUCAAAUCACAACCAAGCAUUGUGUAAAUUUAUGUUGAUUUUUAUGUGGGGAUUAUAUCUCCUAAACUUAAACCAAUUGGCCCCUUGAACAGUUAAAAGGAUAGUAGCAUAUUUGCAAAGCAUGUUGAGCAUGAGUUGUGUAGAUUUAUAUUUAUCCCCCAUUUUUGUCUUGGUUGAGCUACGCUAGACACUACGUAGUAAGAAUUGUUCAAGUCUCAGUCUAAGUAUCAAGUCAAUAUUCAGUUAGAGUCCACGUUACGAAAAACGUUCUCGGUGAGUUGUUUUCUUCUACGUUGUCAUUAAGGCUGUUGCUACCUCUCUUUGCUUUUCAUAUUUGUUGUCAGGUUAUUUUAACUUAUUUAAAUCUGAUGCACAAUUGCUAAUCGAAUGGCAACAACAACAACAACAACAAACCCAGUGUAUUCCCACCUAGUGGGGUCUGGGGGGGUAAGAUGUACGCAGUCCAUACAUACCUCUACCUCUGAAGAAGUAGAAAGGCUGUUUCCGAUAGACCCCCGGCUCAGGGCACGAGAUACCACACAAACACAUAGUAAAGCACAGCACAAGAUUACAUAACAUAAAUACGGCACCCAUAAGUAAUAUAAAACAGAGGAAAACACACAAAUUCGUAAUAAAACCUGGAACACGGACUCAUAACAGGAAUAAAACCCCCACCA